Molecule: long non-coding RNA, 413 nt
Organism: Erigeron canadensis
Lineage: Eukaryota; Viridiplantae; Streptophyta; Magnoliopsida; Asterales; Asteraceae
Exons: 3
Source: RefSeq, a predicted model, not a curated record
CUCUGAAAUUCUUGCUCCAACACCAUUGUUUCAAGUAAGAUUCGGGUAUAUUCAAGUGCAAGAACUCAUCCUAGAGUUCAAUCUCGGGUUUGACACUUUGGUAAAAGUUUUGACAACCCAAGAGACUAAGAUAAUAAGAGGAUUGGUGUGUAGAAGUUGCUUUCAAGGUGGUGACAACCUGUAACAUAUUCGCCAUUAUAGGACUUCACAAUCUCUGGAAAAGUUCGGUUGAAACGAUCUGUCACUUCUUCUCGGGCCUGUAGAUGAAAUGGAUGAGGCCAACACCCUUGAAUAGCCCAUACUGCGUCUUUUGCUUGGUACCAGGAAACUAUUAAAGAAUUCUGCCGAAAUCCCUAUAACAUUGUUUUGGUCUGUAAUCUUGAAACAACACAUCAUGAAUCAAAAGUCAUGGA